UUAAGUUAUUAAGGGCGCACGGUGGAUGCCUUGGCACUAGAAGCCGAUGAAGGACGUUACUAACGACGAUAUGCUUUGGGGAGCUGUAAGUAAGCUUUGAUCCAGAGAUUUCCGAAUGGGGAAACCCAGCAUGAGUUAUGUCAUGUUAUCGAUAUGUGAAUACAUAGCAUAUCAGAAGGCACACCCGGAGAACUGAAACAUCUUAGUACCCGGAGGAAGAGAAAGAAAAUUCGAUUCCCUUAGUAGCGGCGAGCGAAACGGGAAGAGCCCAAACCAACAAGCUUGCUUGUUGGGGUUGUAGGACACUCUAUACGGAGUUACAAAGGACGACAUUAGACGAAUCAUCUGGAAAGAUGAAUCAAAGAAGGUAAUAAUCCUGUAGUCGAAAAUGUUGUCUCUCUUGAGUGGAUCCUGAGUACGACGGAGCACGUGAAAUUCCGUCGGAAUCUGGGAGGACCAUCUCCUAAGGCUAAAUACUCUCUAGUGACCGAUAGUGAACCAGUACCGUGAGGGAAAGGUGAAAAGCACCCCGGAAGGGGAGUGAAAUAGAACCUGAAACCGUGUGCUUACAAGUAGUCAGAGCCCGUUAAUGGGUGAUGGCGUGCCUUUUGUAGAAUGAACCGGCGAGUUACGAUUUGAUGCAAGGUUAAGCAGUAAAUGUGGAGCCGUAGCGAAAGCGAGUCUGAAUAGGGCGUUUAGUAUUUGGUCGUAGACCCGAAACCAGGUGAUCUACCCUUGGUCAGGUUGAAGUUCAGGUAACACUGAAUGGAGGACCGAACCGACUUACGUUGAAAAGUGAGCGGAUGAACUGAGGGUAGCGGAGAAAUUCCAAUCGAACCUGGAGAUAGCUGGUUCUCUCCGAAAUAGCUUUAGGGCUAGCCUCAAGUGAUGAUUAUUGGAGGUAGAGCACUGUUUGGACGAGGGGCCCCUCUCGGGUUACCGAAUUCAGACAAACUCCGAAUGCCAAUUAAUUUAACUUGGGAGUCAGAACAUGGGUGAUAAGGUCCGUGUUCGAAAGGGAAACAGCCCAGACCACCAGCUAAGGUCCCAAAAUAUAUGUUAAGUGGAAAAGGAUGUGGCGUUGCCCAGACAACUAGGAUGUUGGCUUAGAAGCAGCCAUCAUUUAAAGAGUGCGUAAUAGCUCACUAGUCGAGUGACACUGCGCCGAAAAUGUACCGGGGCUAAACAUAUUACCGAAGCUGUGGAUUGUCCUUUGGACAAUGGUAGGAGAGCGUUCUAAGGGCGUUGAAGCAUGAUCGUAAGGACAUGUGGAGCGCUUAGAAGUGAGAAUGCCGGUGUGAGUAGCGAAAGACGGGUGAGAAUCCCGUCCACCGAUUGACUAAGGUUUCCAGAGGAAGGCUCGUCCGCUCUGGGUUAGUCGGGUCCUAAGCUGAGGCCGACAGGCGUAGGCGAUGGAUAACAGGUUGAUAUUCCUGUACCACCUAUAAUCGUUUUAAUCGAUGGGGGGACGCAGUAGGAUAGGCGAAGCGUGCGAUUGGAUUGCACGUCUAAGCAGUAAGGCUGAGUAUUAGGCAAAUCCGGUACUCAUUAAGGCUGAGCUGUGAUGGGGAGAAGACAUUGUGUCUUCGAGUCGUUGAUUUCACACUGCCGAGAAAAGCCUCUAGAUAGAAAAUAGGUGCCCGUACCGCAAACCGACACAGGUAGUCAAGAUGAGAAUUCUAAGGUGAGCGAGCGAACUCUCGUUAAGGAACUCGGCAAAAUGACCCCGUAACUUCGGGAGAAGGGGUGCUCUUUAGGGUUAACGCCCAGAAGAGCCGCAGUGAAUAGGCCCAAGCGACUGUUUAUCAAAAACACAGGUCUCUGCUAAACCGUAAGGUGAUGUAUAGGGGCUGACGCCUGCCCGGUGCUGGAAGGUUAAGAGGAGUGGUUAGCUUCUGCGAAGCUACGAAUCGAAGCCCCAGUAAACGGCGGCCGUAACUAUAACGGUCCUAAGGUAGCGAAAUUCCUUGUCGGGUAAGUUCCGACCCGCACGAAAGGCGUAACGAUUUGGGCACUGUCUCAACGAGAGACUCGGUGAAAUCAUAGUACCUGUGAAGAUGCAGGUUACCCGCGACAGGACGGAAAGACCCCGUGGAGCUUUACUGUAG
This 2108-nucleotide ribosomal RNA is filed under the name Staphylococcus aureus R0545. Its description in RNAcentral is "bacterial LSU rRNA". It matches the Rfam family "Bacterial large subunit ribosomal RNA", at positions 3 to 2109 of the family's 2925-position model. Lineage: Bacteria; Bacillati; Bacillota; Bacilli; Caryophanales; Staphylococcaceae. The record is from RNAcentral.